RNAcentral lists this ribosomal RNA (464 nucleotides) under Vreelandella stevensii. RNAcentral describes it as "partial 16S ribosomal RNA". It matches the Rfam family "Bacterial small subunit ribosomal RNA", at positions 338 to 795 of the family's 1533-position model. The record is from RNAcentral. Lineage: Bacteria; Pseudomonadati; Pseudomonadota; Gammaproteobacteria; Oceanospirillales; Halomonadaceae.
CCUACGGGAGGCUGCAGUGGGGAAUAUUGGACAAUGGGCGAAAGCCUGAUCCAGCCAUGCCGCGUGUGUGAAGAAGGCCUUCGGGUUGUAAAGCACUUUCAGUGGGGAAGAAAGCCUUGGGGCUAAUACCCUCGAGGAAGGACAUCACCCACAGAAGAAGCACCGGCUAACUCCGUGCCAGCAGCCGCGGUAAUACGGAGGGUGCGAGCGUUAAUCGGAAUUACUGGGCGUAAAGCGCGCGUAGGCGGUCUGAUAAGCCGGUUGUGAAAGCCCCGGGCUCAACCUGGGAACGGCAUCCGGAACUGUCAGGCUAGAGUGCAGGAGAGGAAGGUAGAAUUCCCGGUGUAGAGGUGAAAUGCGUAGAGAUCGGGAGGAAUACCAGUGGCGAAGGCGGCCUUCUGGACUGACACUGACGCUGAGGUGCGAAAGCGUGGGUAGCAAACAGGAUUAGAUACCCCAGAGUC